This 274-nucleotide ribosomal RNA is filed under the name uncultured bacterium. Its description in RNAcentral is "partial 16S ribosomal RNA". It matches the Rfam family "Bacterial small subunit ribosomal RNA", at positions 523 to 796 of the family's 1533-position model. The record is from RNAcentral.
AUACGGAGGGUGCAAGCGUUGUUCGGAAUCACUGGGCGUAAAGGGCGCGCAGGCGGUUUGGUAAGUCAGAUGUGAAAGCCCACGGCUCAACCGUGGAAGUGCAUUUGAAACUGUCAGACUUGAGUACUAGAGGGGAAAGUGGAAUUCCCGGUGUAGAGGUGAAAUUCGUAGAUAUCGGGAGGAAUACCGGUGGCGAAGGCGACUUUCUGGCUAGAUACUGACGCUGAGGCGCGAAAGCGUGGGGAGCAAACAGGAUUAGAUACCCGGGUAGUCC